CCCGAACACGGUAGUUAAGCCCAUAUACGCCGAAAGUACUUGGCUGGAAACGGCCUGGGAGGAUAGGGAGUCGCUGAUU
Molecule: ribosomal RNA, 79 nt
Filed under: Anaerospora hongkongensis
Lineage: Bacteria; Bacillati; Bacillota; Negativicutes; Selenomonadales; Sporomusaceae
Source: RNAcentral